Molecule: ribosomal RNA, 754 nt
Filed under: uncultured bacterium
Lineage: Bacteria
Description: bacterial SSU rRNA
Rfam family: Bacterial small subunit ribosomal RNA
Source: RNAcentral
GUUUUUAAGUCAGGUGUGAAAUCCCUCGGCUCAACCGAGGAACUGCACUUGAAACUGGAGAUCUUGAGUGUCGGAGGGGGAAGCGGAAUUCCUAGUGUAGCGGUGAAAUGCGUAGAUAUUAGGAGGAACACCAGUGGCGAAGGCGGCUUUCUGGACGAUAACUGACGCUGAGGCGCGAAAGCGUGGGGAGCAAACAGAAUUAGAUACCCUGGUAGUCCACGCCGUAAACGAUGGAUACUAGGUGUAGGAGGUAUCGACCCCUUCUGUGCCGCAGUUAACACAAUAAGUAUCCCACCUGGGGAGUACGACCGCAAGGUUGAAACUCAAAGGAAUUGACGGGGGCCCGCACAAGCAGUGGAGUAUGUGGUUUAAUUCGAAGCAACGCGAAGAACCUUACCAGGACUUGACAUCCCUCUGACCGCUCUAGAGAUAGAGCUUUCCUUCGGGACAGGGGUGACAGGUGGUGCAUGGUUGUCGUCAGCUCGUGUCGUGAGAUGUUGGGUUAAGUCCCGCAACGAGCGCAACCCCUAUUGCCGGUUGCCAUCAUUAAGUUGGGCACUCCGGCGAGACUGCCGGCGACAAGUCGGAGGAAGGCGGGGAUGACGUCAAAUCAUCAUGCCCCUUGUGUCCUGGGCUACACACGUACUACAAUGGCCGUAACAACGAGGAGCAAUACCGCGAGGUGGAGCAAAUCUCCAAAUACGGUCUCAGUUCAGAUUGCAGGCUGCAACUCGCCUGCAUGAAGUCAGAAUUG